AAACAAUGUUGAAGAAUCCAAAAGCCCAGGAAUCACAAUAAACUGGACCACCGAGACAAAGGGGGUAGACAUACUAUACACGCACACAUGAUCUGCCAACAGACAAAGACAACACAGAGACUACAUACACCAGGUACCGAGGGUGGAACCAGGGACAGGUGACACGAGGGCUCAGGAACAGCAGGGCGGGGUAGACAAUCACAGGGGCGGGAAAUUCACACAAAGGGAGGAAGUCAGGGUCUGAAACGAGAGGGAAAGGGAAUACAAAAUAAAACAGA
Etheostoma spectabile (orangethroat darter) is the source of this 278-nucleotide long non-coding RNA. RefSeq lists it as uncharacterized. Lineage: Eukaryota; Metazoa; Chordata; Actinopteri; Perciformes; Percidae. The record is from RefSeq and is a predicted model, not a curated record. The transcript is spliced from 3 exons.